Molecule: unclassified non-coding RNA, 265 nt
Filed under: Hevea brasiliensis (rubber tree)
Lineage: Eukaryota; Viridiplantae; Streptophyta; Magnoliopsida; Malpighiales; Euphorbiaceae
Source: RNAcentral
GUUUUUGCCUACGGAGUUAUUUAGAUUCUGUAAGUGCUUGCAAUAUUAUGGGAUUUUGUCAUCUUCCAGAUUUAUAUGCACUAUUAUGCAUCAAGAGAGUAAUAAUUUGCUUCUGUACAAAUCUACCAUAGAAAAACUCCCAGGUUAGCUUUUACUUUUGUGUUGUAGGAUUAUUUCUCGUUUGAUUCUCAGAUUUGGGUUUUCCAGUUUUCUCGACUUGAUUGUUUUUGCUUCCGAAGGAACUUGGGCUUUUUUUUUUUUUUUU